UGCGUAGGCGGAAUAUUAAGUCAGUGGUGAAAUCCUGCGGCUCAACCGUAGAACUGCCAUUGAUACUGAUAUUCUUGAAUGUAGUUGAGGUAGGCGGAAUGUGUAAUGUAGCGGUGAAAUGCUUAGAUAUUACACAGAACACCGAUUGCGAAGGCAGCUUACUAAACUAUGAUUGACGCUGAGGCACGAAAGCGUGGGGAGCGAACAGGAUUAGAUACCCUGGUAGGUCC
Molecule: ribosomal RNA, 230 nt
Filed under: uncultured bacterium
Lineage: Bacteria
Description: partial 16S ribosomal RNA
Rfam family: Bacterial small subunit ribosomal RNA
Source: RNAcentral